Molecule: ribosomal RNA, 325 nt
Filed under: uncultured eukaryote
Lineage: Eukaryota
Description: partial 18S ribosomal RNA
Rfam family: Eukaryotic small subunit ribosomal RNA
Source: RNAcentral
CCCUUAGAUGUUCUGGGCCGCACGCGCGCUACACUGAUGCAUUCAACGAGUCUAAAACCUGCUCUGAUAGGGGUGGGUAAUCUUUUGAAUGUGCAUCGUGAUUGGGAUAGAUUCUUGUAAUUUUUGAUCUUAAACGAGGAAUUCCUAGUAAACGCAAGUCAUCAGCUUGCAUUGAUUACGUCCCUACCCUUUGUACACACCGCCCGUCGCACCUACCGAUUGAAUGGUCCGGUGAAAUCUCCGGACUGGCGUGAGUCGGAGCAAUCUGACAAACACCGGAAAGUUGAUUAAACCUUACCAUUUAGAGGAAGGUGAAGUCGUAACA